Molecule: ribosomal RNA, 726 nt
Filed under: uncultured Lachnospiraceae bacterium
Lineage: Bacteria; Bacillati; Bacillota; Clostridia; Lachnospirales; Lachnospiraceae
Description: bacterial SSU rRNA
Rfam family: Bacterial small subunit ribosomal RNA
Source: RNAcentral
UGCUUAACACAUGCAAGUCGAACGGGAAAUAUUUCAUUGAGACUUCGGUGGAUUUGAUCUAUUUCUAGUGGCGGACGGGUGAGUAACGCGUGGGUAACCUGCCUUAUACAGGGGGAUAACAGUCAGAAAUGGCUGCUAAUACCGCAUAAGCGCACAGAGCUGCAUGGCUCAGUGUGAAAAACUCCGGUGGUAUAAGAUGGACCCGCGUUGGAUUAGCUAGUUGGUGGGGUAACGGCCCACCAAGGCGACGAUCCAUAGCCGGCCUGAGAGGGUGAACGGCCACAUUGGGACUGAGACACGGCCCAGACUCCUACGGGAGGCAGCAGUGGGGAAUAUUGCACAAUGGGGGAAACCCUGAUGCAGCGACGCCGCGUGAAGGAAGAAGUAUCUCGGUAUGUAAACUUCUAUCAGCAGGGAAGAUAGUGACGGUACCUGACUAAGAAGCCCCGGCUAACUACGUGCCAGCAGCCGCGGUAAUACGUAGGGGGCAAGCGUUAUCCGGAUUUACUGGGUGUAAAGGGAGCGUAGACGGUGUGGCAAGUCUGAUGUGAAAGGCAUGGGCUCAACCUGUGGACUGCAUUGGAAACUGUCAUACUUGAGUGCCGGAGGGGUAAGCGGAAUUCCUAGUGUAGCGGUGAAAUGCGUAGAUAUUAGGAGGAACACCAGUGGCGAAGGCGGCUUACUGGACGGUAACUGACGUUGAGGCUCGAAAGCGUGGGGAGCAAA